Drosophila pseudoobscura is the source of this 707-nucleotide long non-coding RNA. RefSeq lists it as uncharacterized. The transcript is spliced from 2 exons. NCBI's taxonomy places the organism in Eukaryota, Metazoa, Arthropoda, Insecta, Diptera, Drosophilidae. The record is from RefSeq and is a predicted model, not a curated record.
AAGUAUCAUUAUUAGCAGAUAAUUGUUAGCUAACUAAAUAAAUCAAAUAUUUUUAGACGCGUGCGGACACUAUAUGCUUGCAUGGGAGAAAGCGAAGGGGAACUAUCCUUUGAGCCGAAUCAAAUAAUAACUAAUGUGCGCUUUUCACAUGAGCCUGGAUGGUUGCAGGGUACACUGAACGGUAAGACAGGACUCAUUCCGGAGAACUAUGUGGAACAUUUGAAGCCAUACAAUUAAAUCAUGUGAUUAUAGCGAUUCUUCUGCUUUUAACGUAUGUCUGUAAGAAGCGCUAUGAUUAUAUUGAUUUCCGCAUCUGCCGAUGAUAAAGUAGAAGUAGGAUGAAAUUCAACAACAAAAAUAUAUUGCUUGUACACAAAUUUUUUGUAUCUAUACGUUUUUAACUAUCAGCAAAGAUUUACUGAAUUACUGCUUUACGCUUCCAUUUGUUGCUUAAUUGUAAUAAAAUAAUUGUAACAAAUUUACAAAAAAUGUAUGUCUAUAAAUAUUACAGCAUUUUACGGCUUAUAAAAUAUUAAAACUACGAGAAUAAAAAAGGCGCUAAAAAGGGUAAAAUGUUCGACCAUGUUAUGUAAACCAUAGAACUAUUUAUUAAAUCCAGACGUAUCCGAAAUUUGUAAAAAUAGUAUAAGAUUCACUGUGGAAUGAAUUUAUCAGCAUAUCAAAUAUACCAAAAAAUAUAAAGCCAA